RNAcentral lists this small RNA (80 nucleotides) under bovine gut metagenome. RNAcentral describes it as "GA-cis RNA". It matches the Rfam family "GA-cis RNA". The record is from RNAcentral.
GGAGGAACCAUUAUGUCGAAGACAUGAUUUAAAAUGUUCCGCCCGACUGGCCGCCGACCAAAGGGAGGGGCAAUACAUAU